Molecule: non-coding RNA, 421 nt
Organism: Heteronotia binoei (common prickly gecko)
Lineage: Eukaryota; Metazoa; Chordata; Lepidosauria; Squamata; Gekkonidae
Source: the annotation of a RefSeq genome assembly
AUUUCCUCAUUAAGGACAUCAGCCUCAACAUCAUGUUGUGGCCUGCCAUUCUCAGUCUACUAGUCAUGUGGUGCACAGGUUCAAACUCUCAGGAUGUGAUAUCUCAGCCACCAGCAGCAUCAGUGUCACCAGGAAACUCAGCAAAACUCUCCUGUGUCAUGAGCAGCGGGUCCAGCAUCAGUGGCUAUGCUGUGAUCUGGUUACAGCAGAAGUCUGGGAAUCCCCCAAGAUACCUCUUAUGGUAUAGCUCAGAUUCCAGCAAGCACCAGGGCUCUGGGGUCCCCUCUCGAUUCUCUGGCUCCAAAGACACGUCCAGCAACACCUGCUAUUUAAACAUCGCUGGAGCCCUGGCAGAAGAUGAGGCCAAUUACUACUGUGCAGUCUGGCACAACAGUGCUUGACACAGUGACUCAGUCAGAUG